UACGGAGGGGGCUAGCGUUGUUCGGAAUUACUGGGCGUAAAGCGCGCGUAGGCGGACCUGCAAGUCGGGGGUGAAAGCCCGAGGCUCAACCUCGGAACUGCCUUCGAUACUGCGGGUCUCGAGUCCGGGAGAGGUGAGUGGAAUUCCUAGUGUAGAGGUGAAAUUCGUAGAUAUUGGGAAGAACACCGGUGGCGAAGGCGGCGCUCUGGACCGAGACUGACGCUGAGGCGCGAAAGCGUGGGGAGCGAACAGG
Molecule: ribosomal RNA, 253 nt
Filed under: uncultured bacterium
Lineage: Bacteria
Description: partial 16S ribosomal RNA
Rfam family: Bacterial small subunit ribosomal RNA
Source: RNAcentral